GCAAGAGCCGGACGAGUUCAGCGGCCUCCUGCCAGUAAGAAGUUCACUUGCUGUGGCCCCGCCCAGAGCGUUGCUUGUUCAUGGUGGUCAGCAUCUGGCUGAUGUAAGAGGUCAGCAGGUCAUCCAUCUUGUAGCCCUGCAGGUUGCCGAUGGUGAUGUGGAAGUAGGUGUUCCCACUGCUCCAGUUGGAGAUCUUGGUGAAGGGACCGACCUGGUAGUAGUGAAAGAUGGAGUCGGCGAAGGAGUCCUUCCCUGGAACUGUGUUGGUCCACAACUUCUUCAUGAAGAACACCUGAUAGGUCAGAGAGGGAACGAUUCCUACAAGGUUUGUCCGGCCUCCUUCAUAAGUCAUGAUGUUUCAUAAACCCAACAGUUUGUGUUUUUACUUCCUGCAUGUUACGCAAACUUGAAUAAACAAUAAGAGCUUG
Sebastes umbrosus (honeycomb rockfish) is the source of this 428-nucleotide long non-coding RNA. RefSeq lists it as uncharacterized. The transcript is spliced from 4 exons. The record is from RefSeq and is a predicted model, not a curated record. NCBI's taxonomy places the organism in Eukaryota, Metazoa, Chordata, Actinopteri, Perciformes, Sebastidae.